This 245-nucleotide ribosomal RNA is filed under the name uncultured bacterium. RNAcentral describes it as "partial 16S ribosomal RNA". It matches the Rfam family "Bacterial small subunit ribosomal RNA", at positions 91 to 334 of the family's 1533-position model. The record is from RNAcentral.
CUUAGUGGCGAACGGGUGAGUAACGCGUGAGUAACCUGCCCUGGAGUGGGGGACAACAGUUGGAAACGACUGCUAAUACCGCAUAAGCCCACGGCCCGGCAUCGGGCUGAGGGAAAAGGAUUUAUUCGCUUCAGGAUGGACUCGCGUCCAAUUAGCUAGUUGGUGAGGUAACGGCCCACCAAGGCGACGAUUGGUAGCCGGACUGAGAGGUUGAACGGCCACAUUGGGGCUGAGACACGGCCCAG